GUUGAAGAGCAGCUCAAAGUUACAGACGGUGUUGCCAUUUGUUCAACCUUGUAGUUGUCAUAUACCCUGGUCUUGUUAUGUUCCCACCAAUGCUGAGCUUCCUUCUCACCAAAAUGCUUCCGGCUGCACAGCCAAGAAUUCAGGACGAUGUAGAAAAUGUGACAUAUACACCAUGCUCAAUUUGUUCAGUCACACUAUCAGUCGGAGGGGCAGCCAAUGGUGCUUCCGUGGUGUACCCAUCGCUGCUAAAUUUCCUGGCCCCAUUCUGUUGACUGAACGGUACAUCUUCUGGCACAACAGCAUUUGACAAAGAUUCCGGCCGGUGUUCCCUUGCAAUUCUAUUUUCGUCGGUUGCAUUGGGAUGCUAUUAGGUGUUAUCUUGGAGUUUUCUGACAGCUGACCAAUUGAAAGUUUCUCUGACAAGGCAUUGCACUGCACAUUUCGCAAUACACCAAGUUAAUAGGUCAUAUAUCAACCAAAAGUUCAGAACGCCCCAGCCCCCCACGAUAUAAGAUAUGAAUAGAGCAGGGCACUCAACUUGCCCCCAUCUUUCAGUUUUUGUCUGCACUGCAGUGGCAGGUUCCUCAUUUCUCUGAUUAGUACCUUGUACUGAAGCCAUCUUUUCUGCAAAAAAGUUUGCUUCCUUGAAUAGGCGUGACAAUUUAGCUGAUAACCUGCACUUUCGCUGAAGAUAGCUGCGGGGACUGAUUGCGCAACUGUUUAUCUGUCUACCGCUCUUUGAGCCAGCCAAUGGAAGUGGACUAUAAGGAGAAGAUGUUAAGGCAGUCAAACCAAGAAACCAGCAUUCAGCUUGAUCUCUGUCUCUGCAGAUCUGGGCCAACGAAAUUUUCAAAACAUGUGGUAUGAGUAGGGAAAACAUAUACUAUAAGAUUGCAGCUCUAACUGAUUUAAGAUCUAGUAAGAGGAGUACCAAGUCUAUUGAGCACUCGCCGUUUUUGUAUACGAGUGACAAGGAUUGUGAUUCCUUCUCUGGCCAGCGAUGACGCAGAAAAUUCAUCUGUAAAGUUCUGAAAUCCUUAGAAUAUUGUAUUGCUAUGUGACGAAGGGACAAGCAUCAUAACUUAAUCAGGGCAUAAUGAAUUGCUUACAGUCUUCUGCCCAAGAACAACAGUGGAAACGGAAUUUAAGCUCAGGUGUUUUUCCCUGUCCUUCGAGUACCAGACUAAUGUUUUCUCAUCCUGCAAAGAGGAAAGAAAUCCUUUGGCAUGACAGCAAAGAGAAGAAAUCCUUUCGCAUGACAUAAAAGCUGCAGGUACAAAAUUCUAUGUGGUAACAGAUUAUUGGUAUUCCAAAAGGCCACAGAGGCACUAACAAAUUGCAUACUUCGGCUGGUUUUAGCUGCAAGCACUAUUUUCGUAAUAGUGGUAAAAGAAUUACUCACUGAAGAUAGCCUGAAUGGGCAGAAUUUGGGCUUCCCUCUCUUUCCAAAUUUCAGGAGAUGUGCUCCCUUCUUCAGAGCAACAAUGGCCUGGAUAGCAGAAACAAAACAAAAGGAAAAAGAAAAAAAAUCAGAACUCCUCCACUCUCAGGGCAACAUGGAUUUGAUGGGUGAUCAUUCGGAUUUAAUCCGAGCAGUUUUUCUCAGUACGAACGCUGACUCCAUGAGGUUGAGAGAGAAUAUAAUAGGAAAACAAUGCAUUUCAUUUCCCCCAGAAGAUGUAGCGAUGGUAGUCCAACGGGUUAGCAAUAAAAGCGAGACAUUUGAAGGCUUGCAAUUCCAAAAAUAAUCGAAAGAAAUCCAAUAAAUCAAUAAAUGGCGUCAAAAUUACUCUCAAGAGGCUAGAAAGGAGGGGGGAAAGGGGAAAUCUUUUACAGACCUGCUCAACUCCUCUUGUUGGCAUCCUCCCAUCAAAACUCCCAGCCAUGGCAAAAGCAAGAUGAGGUUGUUACUCUCCUCUGCUCACAGGUAGCUCAGCCAAGGAUGGCAAUGCAGCGUCUGAAAGAAAAAUGGAGAAAGGAGGAAAGAAAUGGAGCAGUUUGAGGCUUUGAGCUCAACGGGCUCAACGGGGAAGUGCCUCUUGCAGAAGAGCUGCAGCGAUUCAGUGACCCUGGAAAAAGCUAAACAGUGGAGAGAGGAGUCGCUGGCCGUUGGGCUUUUGUCUUCUGUUCGCGCACACACGCUGAAGUGCAGUUCAGACUUCAGACCGGGAAAAGGCUUCCGCCAUCAGCGUUCUUUGAGCUGGUGCUCUGACACUCUGAAGCCCUUAUCUCUAUCGCCUUCUCCAUUAUAAUUCUUGUGUCUGUAUACUCCUACCUCUACUAGUGCUAGUACUGUAGUACUACAAAACAACCAUUACUCAUACUGUUUGGUUAGCGUGUGGACAACAGUACGUGAGUCAGUAAGGAGGGGAUUAAGAAAUGUGUUAUGUUUGCUUGUC
Non-coding RNA from Oryza sativa Japonica Group (Japanese rice), 2399 nucleotides. The record is from RefSeq and is a predicted model, not a curated record. Lineage: Eukaryota; Viridiplantae; Streptophyta; Magnoliopsida; Poales; Poaceae.